RNAcentral lists this ribosomal RNA (230 nucleotides) under uncultured bacterium. RNAcentral describes it as "partial 16S ribosomal RNA". It matches the Rfam family "Bacterial small subunit ribosomal RNA", at positions 118 to 347 of the family's 1533-position model. The record is from RNAcentral.
UGAGCAAUCUGCCCUUCUCAUCGGAAUAAGCGUUGGAAACGACGUCUAAUGCCGAAUACGACCUCCUUUCGCAUGAUCGGAGGUGGAAAGCUCCGGCGGAGAAGGAUGAGCUCGCGGCCUAUCAGCUAGUUGGUGUGGGUAACGGACCCACCAAGGCAACGAUGCGUAGCCGACCUGAGAGGGUNAUCGGCCACAUUGGAACUGAGACACGGUCCAGACCUCACGGGAGG